UAUACCCUCUACAUCUUCCCCAAAUGUGCAAUUCCCCUUCACCCAAGUAUACCCUUUACAUCUUCAUCAUUCUACUUUUUUUAAAGGAAGCCAUCUCAUUAAAUAUCAAUAACCAACCCCAUCUAGCAAGUAACUAGAUGAGACACAUUACUAAUUACAUCAAUAUGCACCAACUCUAAUCAACACUUACAUUCACUCCUUUAAACAAUGUACCCACAUAACCACAAAACCAUCAUAACCACGCAUAAACUUGCCUUUUUUCCUUUUCUUUUGAAGUUGUAGAUCACCCACUCCUAUUGCAAAUUCAUUGACCGUUAAGCAAUGCACGAUAGCUGGGACUUCAAUCCACACGUUAAUGAUCUCCAUACAGCUUUAGUAGCUAGGCAGACUCCACCAUAUAACUGCAAUGCUAGCAGUUUGGGCUCCCAACAUUGACCGCACGUUUCAUCAAUUCGCCUGUUGUUUGAAUUUUCCUAGCCACCACUCUCUACACGAAAAUGUUUACCUUCGGGAAUGCCCAGUUGCACCACCUCAUUACCUCAUUAGGAAUCUUCAUUCGUUCUGAUUGAUUAUUGGCCUUACUCAAAUCUUCGCCAACUGCCUUAACCAAGAGGUACAACCCUCGAUCCGCUUUCCAACCAUGUUGAUUGUCCUAAACCUUUAUUUGGCAACCUUUGAGCAUGUUCAGUUCCCAUUAAUUUUCCCCAUUCGUUUUGGUGAUUGCGGGUAUUACACUUCUAAUCCCAUAACCGAUUUGCUAUUUAACACCUCAUGCACUGGAUUUUAAAGUUUUCCUUCAUCGUGCCAUAAACCAUCAAUAUAGGUCCGAUAACCCCCUACUCCGGUGUCUUAUACGAACGGGAAGCUCGCCCUGAACUACCAUACCCUCUCCAAUCACAACAUGGAAAUCCAUGGAGGAAAACGAAGUAAAAUCUUUCAAAUUCAUUUAGCGAUAUGUUGAAGAAAUCUAAUGAUUGCAUCACAAUUUUAUGUCAUGAUUAGUUGAUAUUGUAUGUUUUGCUUAUCAACUAUUGAAAGCUUGCAUGAUAGAGGAUGGAAAAAUCAUAGUCUUCAUGAAAGAUAACAUAGCAAGAAAUCCCAUGAAUUCUAAGCCUUAGGGUUAUUAAACAUGAGGGAUAUCCUAACAACGCUUAUAGGGAGUCCCCAGAGUAUGUUGCUUUCUUUUAGAUAUAUUUUCGAAGUAAAGUAGUCAUAUUUUAUCAAUUAACUCAAGUUUCUUAAGGACUACACCGACAUACUGGAUGAUUGCUAAUAUGAGGGGAGUUCUUUAUGUUGAUAGAACUCGAGUAAAAGGAGGAAGUGGCAAGAUUUUGAAUAGCAAUCCACAAGAUACAAUCUUCCUUUACUUUGUUGGUCACGGACUUCAUGGGAAACUUUAUUUCGAUAAUGAAACUUAGAUGUUUGAAGAAUUCCCAGAUAUUUUCCAAGGAAUUCAUAAACGUCAUAGAUACAAAUUGAUGGUAAACCAUAAUCUUAAGUCCAUUUAUGGACUUUUAUAUGAAAGCAUGAAUAUUUAUGUGAUGACUUCGGCUAAUCAUACCGAGCCUUCUGCUAAAACACCUAAUGACAUCGUGUUUAUGUCCCCAUAGGUGGUUACUAUAGUUUGGCUUGGAUACGAGAUAGGUGAGGAAGAAAGUGGCUACGGCCUGCAUGAAAACUACACUAGUGGGUUUCAAGUACUUCAUACAUAUGAGUUCACAUGUUACAAAGUAUGCCCAACAAAAGAUUACAAACAAGCCACUGUCCUAUUAUCAAGGAUACGAUCCACAUCAAGAUAAAGAUAUAAAACUCUAUAAGCAAAGGUCUAGUUAUGAUUCUACCCACUUCACCCAUGUAUAUAUGCAAAAUGUAGUUGGGUUACUUAUGUAUUACUACUUCAAUUGUUUGUUAUGACACUUGCAAUGUUUUUUUUUUCCUUUUUCAAAG
Molecule: long non-coding RNA, 1947 nt
Organism: Helianthus annuus (common sunflower)
Lineage: Eukaryota; Viridiplantae; Streptophyta; Magnoliopsida; Asterales; Asteraceae
Exons: 3
Source: RefSeq, a predicted model, not a curated record